GCAGUGGUAGUUCAGGGGUAGAAUUCUUGCCUUCCAUGAGGGAGACCUGGGUUCGAUUCCCAGCCAAUGCA
This 71-nucleotide transfer RNA is filed under the name Loxodonta africana (African savanna elephant). It matches the Rfam family "tRNA". From Rfam's summary of the family: Transfer RNA (tRNA) molecules are approximately 80 nucleotides in length. Their secondary structure includes four short double-helical elements and three loops (D, anti-codon, and T loops). Further hydrogen bonds mediate the characteristic L-shaped molecular structure. tRNAs have two regions of fundamental functional importance: the anti-codon, which is responsible for specific mRNA codon recognition, and the 3' end, to which the tRNAs corresponding amino acid is attached (by aminoacyl-tRNA synthetases). tRNAs cope with the degeneracy of the genetic code in two manners: having more than one tRNA (with a specific anti-codon) for a particular amino acid; and 'wobble' base-pairing, i.e. permitting non-standard base-pairing at the 3rd anti-codon position. Lineage: Eukaryota; Metazoa; Chordata; Mammalia; Proboscidea; Elephantidae. The record is from Rfam by way of RNAcentral.